GAAAUGCGAUAAGUAAUGUGAAUUGCAGAAUUCCGUGAAUCAUCGAAUCUUUGAACGCACAUUGCGCCCUCUGGUAUUCCGGGGGGCAUGCCUGUCCGAGCGUCAUUGCGAACCCCUCAAGCACGGCUUGUGUGAUGGGCCCUCCCGCGUCUUGGUCGUCAAGACGGGCCCGAAAAGCAGUGGCGGCUUCGCGGUUAUCCGAUCAGCCAGAGAAUAUGGGGACUUUCUCUCUGUCACACGCCCGCGGCGCGGACCGACGCCUGUCGACCUUUAUUCAUCUUUUUCUCGGUUGACCUCGGAUCAGGUAGGGAUACCCGCUGAACUUAAGC
RNAcentral lists this unclassified non-coding RNA (329 nucleotides) under plant metagenome. RNAcentral describes it as "partial contains 5.8S ribosomal RNA, internal transcribed spacer 2, and large subunit ribosomal RNA". The stretch from base 1 to 105 matches the Rfam family "5.8S ribosomal RNA", at positions 50 to 154 of the family's 154-position model. The record is from RNAcentral.